GACGAACGCUGGCGGCGUGCUUAACACAUGCAAGUCGAACGGAAAGGCCCUGCUUUUGUGGGGUGCUCGAGUGGCGAACGGGUGAGUAACACGUGAGUAACCUGCCCUUGACUUUGGGAUAACUUCAGGAAACUGGGGCUAAUACCGGAUAGGAGCUCCUGCUGCAUGGUGGGGGUUGGAAAGUUUCGGCGGUUGGGGAUGGACUCGCGGCUUAUCAGCUUGUUGGUGGGGUAGUGGCUUACCAAGGCUUUGACGGGUAGCCGGCCUGAGAGGGUGACCGGCCACAUGGGGACUGCGAUACGGCCCAGACGCCAACGGGAGGCAGCAGUGGGGAAUAUUACACAGUGGGCGGAAGCCUGAUGCAGCAACGCCGCGUGCGGGAUGACGGCCUUCGGGUUGUAAACCGCUUUCGCCUGUUACGAAGCGUGAGUGACGGUAAUGGGUAAAGAAGCACCGGCUAACUACGUG
This 468-nucleotide ribosomal RNA is filed under the name uncultured bacterium. Its description in RNAcentral is "partial 16S ribosomal RNA". It matches the Rfam family "Bacterial small subunit ribosomal RNA", at positions 28 to 507 of the family's 1533-position model. The record is from RNAcentral.